RNAcentral lists this ribosomal RNA (1441 nucleotides) under Streptomyces collinus. Its description in RNAcentral is "16S ribosomal RNA". It matches the Rfam family "Bacterial small subunit ribosomal RNA". Lineage: Bacteria; Bacillati; Actinomycetota; Actinomycetes; Kitasatosporales; Streptomycetaceae. The record is from RNAcentral.
CUUACACAUGCAAGUCGAACGAUGAACCACUUCGGUGGGGAUUAGUGGCGAACGGGUGAGUAACACGUGGGCAAUCUGCCCUGCACUCUGGGACAAGCCCUGGAAACGGGGUCUAAUACCGGAUACUGACCCUCGCAGGCAUCUGCGAGGUUCGAAAGACUCCGGCGGUGCAGGAUGAGCCCGCGGCCUAUCAGCUUGUUGGUGAGGUAUAUGGGCCUCACACACAGGGCGAGCGAGCGGGUUAGCCGGCCCUGAAGAGGGCCGACCCGGCCCACACUGGGACUGAGACACCGGCCCCAGACUCCUACGGGAGGCAGCCAGUGGGGAAUAUUGCACMAUGGGCGAAAGCCUGAUGCAGCGACGCCGCGUGAGGGAUGACSGCCUUCSGGUUGUAAACCUCUUUCAGCAGGGAAGAAGCGAAAGUGACGGUACCUGCAGAAGAAGCGCYGGCUAACUACGUGCCAGCAGCCGCGGUAAUACGUAGGGCGCAAGCGUUGUCCUGGAAUUAUUGGGCGUAAAGAGCUCGUAGGCGGCUUGUCGCGUCGGUUGUGAAAGCCCGGGGCUUAACCCCGGGUCUGCAGUCGAUACGGGCAGGCUAGAGUUCCGGUAGGGGAGAUCGGAAUUCCCUGGUGUAGCGGUGAAAUGCGCAGAUAUCAGGAGGAACACCGGUGGCGAAGGCGGAUCUCUGGGCCGAUACUGACGCUGAGGAGCGAAAGCGUGGGGAGCGAACAGGAUUAGAUACCCUGGUAGUCCACGCCGUAAACGGUGGGCACUAGGUGUGGGCAACAUUCCACGUUGUCCGUGCCGCAGCUAACGCAUUAAGUGCCCCGCCUGGGGAGUACGGCCGCAAGGCUAAAACUCAAAGGAAUUGACGGGGGCCCGCACAAGCGGGCGGAGCAUGUGGCUUUAAUUCGGACGCAACGCGAAGAACCUUACCAAGGGCUUGACAUACACCGGAAAACGCAUCAGAGACAGGUGCCCCCCUUGUGGUCGGUGUACAGGUGGUGCAUGGCCUGUCKUCAGCUCGUGUCSUGAGAAUKUUGGRUUAAGUCCCGCAACGAGCGCAACCCUUGUCCCGUGUUGCCAGCAGGCCCUUGUGGUGCUGGGGACUCACGGGAGACCGCCGGGGUCAACUCGGAGGAAGGUGGGGACGACGUCAAGUCAUCAUGCCCCUUAUGUCUUGGGCUGCACACGUGCUACAAUGGCCGGUACAAUGAGCUGCGAUACCGCAAGGUGGAGCGAAUCUCAAAAAGCCGGUCUCAGUUCGGAUUGGGGUCUGCAACUCGACCCCAUGAAGUCGGAGUCGCUAGUAAUCGCAGAUCAGCAUUGCUGCGGUGAAUACGUUCCCGGGCCUUGUACACACCGCCCGUCACGUCACGAAAGUCGGUAACACCCGAAGCCGGUGGCCCAACCCCUUGUGGGAGGGAGCUGUCGAAGGUGG